This is a long non-coding RNA of Hibiscus syriacus, 147 nucleotides long. RefSeq lists it as uncharacterized. The transcript is spliced from 3 exons. Lineage: Eukaryota; Viridiplantae; Streptophyta; Magnoliopsida; Malvales; Malvaceae. The record is from RefSeq and is a predicted model, not a curated record.
AAAAGGGUUUCAGUCGAAUGCUGCAAAGUGACAUGAAUGUUCACAAAAAUCAUGGAUGAUAUAAUCUGGCCAGACAAACCAAUCAACUUAACAAGCGCAAAACAGAGAAGCAAUCAUAUGGCUUGCUUGUUCAGCUCCUCAACUUUA